RNAcentral lists this unclassified non-coding RNA (211 nucleotides) under Hevea brasiliensis (rubber tree). Lineage: Eukaryota; Viridiplantae; Streptophyta; Magnoliopsida; Malpighiales; Euphorbiaceae. The record is from RNAcentral.
AAGCUUCAAAUUCGCCUGGACGCGUUUUCGUAGAACAUACCCUUUCUCGUUCUGGUGAAUCUUUCGCUCAAUUUUAUUUUAAUUUUUCAAUUUAAUCGUACGGCUUUGAUUCACUCCUGAUUCUCUUGUGGGUUUUUCCCGGAUCUUGCAAUCUUGAUAUUUCUGAUUAUCAAGUGUUGCAGAAAUGACUUACUUAAUAUCGACAACAAAA